RNAcentral lists this ribosomal RNA (468 nucleotides) under uncultured bacterium. Its description in RNAcentral is "partial 16S ribosomal RNA". It matches the Rfam family "Bacterial small subunit ribosomal RNA", at positions 28 to 507 of the family's 1533-position model. The record is from RNAcentral.
GACGAACGCUGGCGGCGUGCUUAACACAUGCAAGUCGAACGGAAAGGCCCUGCUUUUGUGGGGUGCUCGAGUGGCGAACGGGUGAGUAACACGUGAGUAACCUGUCCUUGACUUUGGGAUAACUUCAGGAAACUGGGGCUAAUACCGGAUAGGAGCUCUUGCUGCAUGGUGGGGGUUGGAAAGUUUCGGCGGUUGGGGAUGGACUCGCGGCUUAUCAGCUUGUUGGUGGGGUAGUGGCUUACCAAGGCUUUGACGGGUAGCCGGCCUGGGAGGGUGACCGGCCACAUUGGGACUGAGAGACGGCCCAGACUCCUACGGGAGGCAGCAGUGGGGAAUAUUGCACAAUGGGCGGAAGCCUGAUGCAGCAACGCCGCGUGCGGGAUGACGUCCUUCGGGUUGUAAACCGCUUUCGCCUGUGACGAAGCGAGAGUGACGGUAAUGGGUAAAGAAGCACCGGCUAACUACGUG